This 310-nucleotide ribosomal RNA is filed under the name Citrobacter braakii. Its description in RNAcentral is "bacterial LSU rRNA". It matches the Rfam family "Bacterial large subunit ribosomal RNA", at positions 2224 to 2533 of the family's 2925-position model. The record is from RNAcentral. Lineage: Bacteria; Pseudomonadati; Pseudomonadota; Gammaproteobacteria; Enterobacterales; Enterobacteriaceae.
AACCGGGAUGAAUAAUCCGGGUUGCGGACAGUGUCUGGUGGGUAGUUUGACUGGGGCGGUCUCCUCCUAAAGAGUAACGGAGGAGCACGAAGGUUAGCUAAUCCUGGUCGGACAUCAGGAGGUUAGUGCAAAGGCAUAAGCUAGCUUGACUGCGAGAGUGACGGCUCGAGCAGGUGCGAAAGCAGGUCUUAGUGAUCCGGUGGUUCUGAAUGGAAGGGCCAUCGCUCAACGGAUAAAAGGUACUCCGGGGAUAACAGGCUGAUACCGCCCAAGAGUUCAUAUCGACGGCGGUGUUUGGCACCUCGAUGUC